RNAcentral lists this non-coding RNA (77 nucleotides) under Bigelowiella natans. Lineage: Eukaryota; Cercozoa; Chlorarachniophyceae. The record is from RNAcentral.
AAAAUGGUUUGUUGAAGAGAAGCGUGUAGAUGGUUGGAACGACCCUCGUUUCCCCACGGUGCAAGGUGUGAUGAGGC